UAGCAGUAAAGGAUGCGGGCUGGGUGUCAGGCGCCCUUCGAGAGCGCCUAGUGCCGUAGGGAAGCCGUUAAGCCCGCCGCCUGGGAAGUACGGUCGCAAGGCUGAAACUUAAAGAAAUUGGCGGGGGAGCACUACAAGGGGUGGGACCUGCGGUUU
This 156-nucleotide ribosomal RNA is filed under the name uncultured archaeon. RNAcentral describes it as "partial 16S ribosomal DNA". It matches the Rfam family "Archaeal small subunit ribosomal RNA", at positions 748 to 903 of the family's 1478-position model. The record is from RNAcentral.